CAUAUAAAUUUCAUUUUCCAAUGGUUAACGAUAUAAAGAAAUCUUUUAACUAAUGUCUCCUUCAUAGAGAUCGUAUGCUAAUUAUUAUGCAAAUAAAAUCCAACCACAGUUUCAAGGAAUAAGCAAGACAUGAAUCUGUUAAAAGAUAAUCAACCAUUUUACUGGAAGGGAGAACGCAUUAUUUUCAACAAUGAUAAGAAGAAGCCGACGAUACAAAAA
This 219-nucleotide long non-coding RNA is filed under the name Polistes fuscatus (common paper wasp). RNAcentral describes it as "uncharacterized LOC122522707". Lineage: Eukaryota; Metazoa; Arthropoda; Insecta; Hymenoptera; Vespidae. The record is from RNAcentral.